This is a long non-coding RNA of Mytilus californianus (California mussel), 325 nucleotides long. RefSeq lists it as uncharacterized. The record is from RefSeq and is a predicted model, not a curated record. NCBI's taxonomy places the organism in Eukaryota, Metazoa, Mollusca, Bivalvia, Mytilida, Mytilidae. The transcript is spliced from 4 exons.
UUAUAUUUUACACUAUUGUAGAAAGUACAGUUUUACUGAAGCGGCCAUAGGAAGACAAAAUGAAGUUCGCAUUGUUGAUGCUGGUAUUUCUUGCCAUAGUCACAGAUGAUGUACUUUCCCAACUUUGUGGUUGUAAUCCGAUAACAGAUUUAGUUUGUUCAAGAUUUGGUGUGACUUUCGAAAAUGAAUGUUUCAUGCGAUGCAGUGGACAAGAUUUUGGUUGCCGUGGUCCUUGUCCAUGUCUAUUUUAACAUGUAUCCGAAAAAGAAGCAAGUGAGACUGUCCGCACCAAGUGAGAUUGAUAAAUAAAAUGAAAAACAAUUAA